RNAcentral lists this ribosomal RNA (494 nucleotides) under uncultured bacterium. Its description in RNAcentral is "partial 16S ribosomal RNA". It matches the Rfam family "Bacterial small subunit ribosomal RNA", at positions 28 to 507 of the family's 1533-position model. The record is from RNAcentral.
GACGAACGCUGGCGGCGUGCUUAACACAUGCAAGUCGAACGGAAAGGCCUGCUUUCCCUUGUGGAUUGCGGGUACUCGAGUGGCGAACGGGUGAGUAACACGUGAGUGAUCUGCCCCCAACUUGGGUAUAAGCCUGGGAAACUGGGUCUAAUUCCCGAUAGGACUGCAGGGUGGUGCCUGUGGUGGAAAACGAUUUUCUAGUGGUUGGGGAUGAGCUCGCGGCCUAUCAGCUUGUUGGUGGGGUAAUGGCCUACCAAGGCGGCGACGGGUAGCCGGCCUGAGAGGGUGGACGGCCACAUAGGGACUGAGAUACGGCCCAGACUCCUACGGGAGGCAGCAGUGGGGAAUAUUGCACAAUGGGCGGAAGCCUGAUGCAGCGACGCCGCGUGGGGGAUGACGGCCUUCGGGUUGUAAACUCCUUUCGACCGCGAGGAAGCCACCUGGUUGGAAGGGUGGUGACGGUAGUGGUAGAAGAAGCACCGGCUAACUACGUG